This 253-nucleotide ribosomal RNA is filed under the name uncultured bacterium. Its description in RNAcentral is "partial 16S ribosomal RNA". It matches the Rfam family "Bacterial small subunit ribosomal RNA", at positions 524 to 776 of the family's 1533-position model. The record is from RNAcentral.
UACGAAGGGAGCUAGCGUUGUUCGGAAUCACUGGGCGUAAAGCGCACGUAGGUGGACAAUUAAGUCAGGGGUGAAAGCCCGAGGCUCAACCUCGGAAUUGCCUCUGAUACUGGUUGUCUAGAGUCCGAGAGAGGUGGGUGGAAUUCCUAGUGUAGAGGUGAAAUGCGUAGAGAUUAGGAAGAACACCGGUGGCGAAGGCGGCCCACUGGCUCGGUACUGACACUGAGGUGCGAAAGCGUGGGGAGCAAACAGG